RNA transcript from Pyrus x bretschneideri (Chinese white pear), 2636 nucleotides. It is a transcript of the gene named protein DETOXIFICATION 35-like, with no coding region annotated. Lineage: Eukaryota; Viridiplantae; Streptophyta; Magnoliopsida; Rosales; Rosaceae. The record is from RefSeq and is a predicted model, not a curated record. The transcript has 4 exons.
AGCAAAACAUCCCAUACUUCCAUUUUUCAUCUGCCUUGUUUUGCGUGAGAAUUUUCAAUAUUUAAAUUUAUUUCUGGCAACAGGAUGAAAAAUGAAAGGACGAGAUGUUUUGCUCAGUUUGCUCCACCUGGGAUCCGGAGGUGAUCCCAGUCCGCCAAAACCUACCAACGCAUGAUGUGAUGUCUUUCUUAAAUUCUUCUGAUAGUAUGUGGCAAUCUAAAGUCAUCACGUGAGCCCCAAGUUUACAACACUGUAUUUUAUACAUUAUAUAAGUCAGCAAUUCGAUCAUGAUCGAUAACGCAUGUUUGUGCGACUGUGAACACCCUGGGGAGAGGAGCAAUAAAGAAAAGCUACUGUAAACCACAUAUACAAAUAGGAACCAAACUCUCAAACUUAAGAUCUGACGCCUAACUAAAUGGAGGAGCCGCUGCUCGACACAGCUGCCGGCAGCGCUGCCGAGUUGAGCAGUAAGCAUCCUAUGUACGAAGGUGAGACUGAAGACUACGCGCCCGUGAGGAGCUUUGAUGCGCUCCGGCGUAUUUUUUGGAUAGAGACGGUGAAGAUGUGGUAAAUAGGAGGUUCGACAGUUAUCACUAUCAUGUGUAUGGGACUAACGCAGUCAUCCUGCUCUUUGCCGGACAUCUCGAAACUGUUGAGCUCUCUGCCAUCUCCAUUUCUCUAGCCGUCAUUUCCACCUUCACUUAUGGAUUCAUGCUUGAUGGGGAGUGCUUUGGAGACCCUGUGUGGACAAGCAUUUGGUGCUGGACAAAUUCCCAUGCUUGGGAUCUACAUGCAACGCUCAUGGAUAAUCUUAUUCGUAACCUGCUUCUUACCCUUGCCGAUUUACAUCUUCGCUACACCGAUUCUGAGGUGGCUAGGCCAAGAAGACGACAUAGUGAUUGAAGCCGGAAAGUAUACCCUCCAAAUAAUCCCCCAAUUAUUCUCACUUUCCUUAACUUUCCCAGCUCAGAAGUUCCUCCAGGCUCAGAUGAAGGUGAAGGUGCUGGCAUGGAUUGCAGUCUUGGCCCUGGCCAUGCACAAUGGAAUGCUAGCGCUCUUCAUGUAUGUGUUUGAUUGGGGCGCAUUAGGGGCAGCUGUACCUUUUUACAUCACAAGAUGGGGGAUUGCAAUUGCACAGGUUGUGUAUAUUAUGGGUUGGACUGGAUUUUCAUGGCUUGCAUUCAAUGAGAUUUGGGCAUUUAAUUAACCAUCUUAGUUUUUGCCCCCAUUACCCUUCCUAUGACACACCGGAAACGUUACUCUGAUAGUAUUCUAAGUCAAUAAUAUAAUAUGGUGAAGAAAAAUUUAAACAUAUGACAAUGAGUUAUUAGUUUGGAAUUAAUACCGCUACAAUGAUGUAUCCAAUGUAAGUAAGUUCCCUUUUUCAUGGUCCAUGAGCUUUUGAUUUCUAAUAGCAUUUUCCUCCCUUUUGGGUUUCCUUAGCAUGAACAUCAACGGGUGGGAAGGAAUGUUGUUCGUUGGAUUAAAUGUUGCAAUAGGGUGAAACAUUGGAUUAGCAGUUCUCUGGUAUGCAAUUCUCUCUUACUAUUUUGGAUUGUUUAUAACAUCUUUAUUUUCUUAUGUAGUGUUCGUGUUUAUAAUGAGUUUGGAUCAAGACACCCUAGAACAACCAAAUACAUUGUUUACGUGACAGUAUUUUAAUAUCUCUUAAUUGGGAUUCUUUUCAUGAUUAUUAUUUUAAUAACCAAAGAUGAUAUUACCUUACUUUUCACAAGUGACAAGGAGCUGCAACAAGCGGUCGCUAAGCUUGCAUAUCUUCUUGGUAUAACUACGGUGCUCAAUAGUGUCCAACCAAUAAUAUCAGGUGUUGCAAUUGGAGGUGGAUGGCAGGGAAUGGUAGCUUAUAUAAACUUAGGUUGCUACUACCUUUUUAAACUUCCUCUUGGAUGCGUUCUUUGCCAUGUUGCAAAUUUGGGAGUCAUGGUGGAGCAAGCAACAAAUCGUGUCCGGAAGUGGGGAGGGAAAGAUAUUAGAACUGUGAAUGGAGCUGAAAGUACUUGAAAUUCCCUUUUCUUUUUAUGGGGUAUAUUAAAGUCUUUGCUCCAUUUAAUGAUGCAACUAUUUUGAUGAGGAGAAAACAUGUGAAAGAGGAAGGUUUAGUCGGCGGCAAGAAUUAGAGGUGAUUCCGCCCGCGACGGGGUGUGGGGUGAAGGAGGUGGGUAUUUGUCGGGGUUGCAUGUGUUGUUUGUCGAGCGUAGUUGGUCAAAGCAAUUUUGCACAACAAAAUGGUCAUCGAAAUUUUUAUUGAGCAAAAUAUCAUUGUCUGACGGUUUUUAAUUUUCAACAAUAAACCUUUGAGUGACUACUUUUGCUUGAUAAAAUUACUUCGUCCUGCAAAGGGUUUUUUUUUUUUUUUUUUUUUUUGGUAGUGUGUGUAUAUGUUUUGUUUAUGUUAUCCUUUCUGCUUUAAGUUUUAUGUACGCCCUUAAUUGGUUAAAAGGUUAUCAUGCCUAGGUGUUGCAUCUAGUCUUUAUGCUACUUAUUCCUACUCAUUAGAAAAAUUACGAGAAAUUUUGGAGUGCCAUAUAUUAUAGACAUAGGACGUCAUAUUAACAAAUCACAUGUGUAAGAAGAGUUAUCAAUAAAAUCUCUUCCGUACCGUCGCGGUUUCAAAA